RNAcentral lists this ribosomal RNA (482 nucleotides) under Escherichia coli. RNAcentral describes it as "partial 23S ribosomal RNA". It matches the Rfam family "Bacterial large subunit ribosomal RNA", at positions 2251 to 2732 of the family's 2925-position model. The record is from RNAcentral. Lineage: Bacteria; Pseudomonadati; Pseudomonadota; Gammaproteobacteria; Enterobacterales; Enterobacteriaceae.
ACAGUGUCUGGUGGGUAGUUUGACUGGGGCGGUCUCCUCCUAAAGAGUAACGGAGGAGCACGAAGGUUGGCUAAUCCUGGUCGGACAUCAGGAGGUUAGUGCAAUGGCAUAAGCCAGCUUGACUGCGAGCGUGACGGCGCGAGCAGGUGCGAAAGCAGGUCAUAGUGAUCCGGUGGUUCUGAAUGGAAGGGCCAUCGCUCAACGGAUAAAAGGUACUCCGGGGAUAACAGGCUGAUACCGCCCAAGAGUUCAUAUCGACGGCGGUGUUUGGCACCUCGAUGUCGGCUCAUCACAUCCUGGGGCUGAAGUAGGUCCCAAGGGUAUGGCUGUUCGCCAUUUAAAGUGGUACGCGAGCUGGGUUUAGAACGUCGUGAGACAGUUCGGUCCCUAUCUGCCGUGGGCGCUGGAGAACUGAGGGGGGCUGCUCCUAGUACGAGAGGACCGGAGUGGACGCAUCACUGGUGUUCGGGUUGUCAUGCCAA